This 543-nucleotide ribosomal RNA is filed under the name uncultured Glomeromycotina. RNAcentral's name for it is "SSU rRNA". It matches the Rfam family "Eukaryotic small subunit ribosomal RNA", at positions 548 to 1098 of the family's 1831-position model. The record is from RNAcentral. Lineage: Eukaryota; Fungi; Glomeromycota.
UUGGAGGGCAAGUCUGGUGCCAGCAGCCGCGGUAAUUCCAGCUCCAAUAGCGUAUAUUAAAGUUGUUGCAGUUAAAAAGCUCGUAGUUGAAUUUCGGGGUCAGCAGGUCGGUCGUGCCAAUGGUAUGCACUGGCUCGCUGACUCCUCCUUCUUGUAGAACCGUAAUGCCAUUAAUUUGGUGUUGCGGGGAAACAGGACUGUUACUUUGAAAAAAUUAGAGCGUUUAAAGCAGGCUAGCGCCUGAAUACAUUAGCAUGGAAUAACGAAAUAGGACGUUCGAACCUAUUUUGUUGGUUUCUAGGAUUGACGUAAUGAUUAAUAGGGAUAGUUGGGGGCAUUAGUAUUCAAUUGUCAGAGGUGAAAUUCUUGGAUUUAUUGAAGACUGACUACUGCGAAAGCAUUUGCCAAGGAUGUUUUCAUUAAUCAAGAACGAAAGUUAGGGGAUCGAAGACGAUCAGAUACCGUCGUAGUCUUAACCAUAAACUAUGCCGACUAGGGAUCGGAUGAUGUUAAUUUUAAUGACUCAUUCGGCGCCUACGAAAC